GACGAACGCUGGCGGCGUGCUUAACACAUGCAAGUCGAACGGAAAGGCCCUGCUUUUGUGGGGUGCUCGAGUGGCGAACGGGUGAGUAACACGUGAGUAACCUGCCCUUGACUUUGGGAUAACUUCAGGAAACUGGGGCUAAUACCGGAUAGGAGCUCCUGCUGCAUGGUGGGGGUUGGAAAGUUUCGGCGGUUGGGGAUGGACUCGCGGCUUAUCAGCUUGUUGGUGGGGUAGUGGCUUACCAAGGCUUUGACGGGUAGCCGGCCUGAGAGGGUGACCGGCCACAUUGGGACUGAGAUACGGCCCAGACCCCUACGGGAGGCAGCAGUGGGGAAAAUUGCACAAUGGGCGGAAGCCUGAUGCAGCAACGCCGCGUGCGGGAUGACGGCCUUCGGGUUGUAAACCGCUUUCGCCUGUGACGAAGCGUGAGUGACGGUAAUGGGUAAAGAAGCACCGGCUAACUACGUG
This 468-nucleotide ribosomal RNA is filed under the name uncultured bacterium. RNAcentral describes it as "partial 16S ribosomal RNA". It matches the Rfam family "Bacterial small subunit ribosomal RNA", at positions 28 to 507 of the family's 1533-position model. The record is from RNAcentral.